Molecule: ribosomal RNA, 234 nt
Filed under: uncultured bacterium
Lineage: Bacteria
Description: partial 16S ribosomal RNA
Rfam family: Bacterial small subunit ribosomal RNA
Source: RNAcentral
CGCCCGCAAGGGAGCGGCAGACGGGUGAGUAACGCGUGGGAAUCUACCCAACCCUACGGAAUAACACAGGGAAACUUGUGCUAAUACCGUAUACGCCCUACGGGGAAAGAUUUAUCGGGGUUGGAUGAGCCCGCGUUGGAUUAGCUAGUUGGUGGGGUAAUGGCCUACCAAGGCGACGAUCCAUAGCUGGUCUGAGAGGAUGAUCAGCCACACUGGGACUGAGACACGGCCCAG